UGCACGGGUUGUUCGGGUUAUUUCUUGCAGAUCUAUACACUGGGGUUCAAGCUUAGUGUUUUUAUUAGUUGAUGCGUUAAGAUUUAUGAUUAUUUUCUUGUUCUGUUUAAUCUGUUGUCCAAAAAUUAGGGUUCUUAAUUUUCUUUCAAAAGAUGAUUAUGAGGAGUUUCAAGAGAAACUUUGUUUCUGAUUGUGAUGGUGGUAGUGGUUUAGGCAUUUCUGUGUCUUGAUUUUUUUUUUUUAUUUUGAUUUUAAUUUCAGACAAUUCCAAUGAUUUUUUGUUUGAUUUCUUAUAAGGGUUUCAUUUGUUAGUAAUUUUCUAAUGAUUUUUCGUUUUUAGAUCAGAUGGAUAUUUUACAGAGAGGAGGAGAAGAACAAGUAGAAGUUAGUUCGUUUUCGAAUAAUUGUUGCUUGACUGAAUUAGAGUCGAAUAUCACUAAGAAAUGUUUUUUGUUUCUGUGAUUUUUCGUUUUUUAUGUCUCUUUUAUAUUAGGAGAUUUAAUUUCUUUGCAGGUGAAGUUAUUGGUGCAGAUGGCCAAAAUUAUGAAAGUUCUGCUAAGUGGUGGAGGAGAUUCUAGAUGUAGCAGCGAUAGCUAAUCGAGUUAUUCUGUACUACAAGCGCACGGUUGAUCAAUAUGAGAGUGAUUUUGUUUCUGUUGCCCAUUCACUAGUACUCUCUAUCAAUGAUAAGUACCUGCACAUCGUUUAGCCAGGCCCCUGCAAUGGAAGCUGCAUUAGAUUUUAUCUAGAGUUCCAGUUAGUGUUGCGGGGCCUUCAAUUAUGGGCAAGGUUGUAUGCUUGAUGUACACAAAUUCUGGAGGUGCAGUGUUGGCUCUUUCAUCUAAUGCAGUCCAUAAACUUUGGAAAUGGCACAGAACGUAAUCCAUCUGCAAAGUCUACGUCAUCUGUAGCUCCCGUGUUGUGACAGCCUGGCAAUGGUACUGUCAUGACAAAUGACAUUAGUGAAACCAGCCCACCUGAGGAACCAGCGGCAUGCAUUGCUUUAUCUAAGAACGAUUCAUAUGUCAUGUCGGCGUCUGGUGGAAAGGUCUCUUUAUUCAACAUGAUGACCUUCAAGGUUAUGACAACUUUCUUGCCCGGCGUUCCACCCUCAGGACAAUAACAUCAUCGCCACAUGGAUGGAGGACUCUACUAUUCAAAUAUACAACGUUCGUGUUGACGAGGUUAAAACAAAACUAAAGGGGGCAUCAGCCAAGGGCUCACCAGCCAAGGGAUUGACUCAAGGUAUUCAUGAUCGCCUUCACCCGUCAAGCAUGGCUCGAGCCAUUCACAAUCGGGUUUAUGUUCAAGCACGGUUGCCUGCUUACAAUGAAUUGGUUUCUUGGGAGCAUAAAGUGAAGAUAUUUCUUUGAUGGGCGAAGAUGAUGAUCACAUGUGUGGUCUGUAGCCCGGAAUCUCGGAACGCCGACCAGGUUCUGGUCAGCAAUUUUUUUUUAUUUAAAUGUAACAAAGUUUAUUACGAAAAUAACUGGAUCAAUUUUUGAAAACUGCAACUCAAU
This is a long non-coding RNA of Papaver somniferum (opium poppy), 1520 nucleotides long. RefSeq lists it as uncharacterized. Lineage: Eukaryota; Viridiplantae; Streptophyta; Magnoliopsida; Ranunculales; Papaveraceae. The transcript is spliced from 9 exons. The record is from RefSeq and is a predicted model, not a curated record.